UUUCCUGUGGCUCAGUUGGUAGAGCAUUACGCUAACAAAGGUAGUGGGUUCAAAUCCCAGGGAAA
Molecule: non-coding RNA, 65 nt
Organism: Danionella cerebrum
Lineage: Eukaryota; Metazoa; Chordata; Actinopteri; Cypriniformes; Danionidae
Source: the annotation of a GenBank genome assembly